RNAcentral lists this ribosomal RNA (254 nucleotides) under uncultured bacterium. Its description in RNAcentral is "partial 16S ribosomal RNA". It matches the Rfam family "Bacterial small subunit ribosomal RNA", at positions 524 to 777 of the family's 1533-position model. The record is from RNAcentral.
UACAGAGGUCCCGAGCGUUGUUCGGAUUCACUGGGCGUAAAGGGCUCGUAGGUGGCCAACUAAGUCAGACGUGAAAUCCCUCGGCUUAACCGGGGAACUGCGUCUGAUACUGGAUGGCUAGAGAUUGGGAGAGGGAUGCGGAAUUCCAGGUGUAGCGGUGAAAUGCGUAGAUAUCUGGAGGAACACCGGUGGCGAAGGCGGCAUCCUGGACCAACACUGACGCUGAGGAGCGAAAGCGUGGGGAGCGAACAGGA